Molecule: transfer RNA, 73 nt
Filed under: Zea mays
Lineage: Eukaryota; Viridiplantae; Streptophyta; Magnoliopsida; Poales; Poaceae
Rfam family: tRNA
About the family: Transfer RNA (tRNA) molecules are approximately 80 nucleotides in length. Their secondary structure includes four short double-helical elements and three loops (D, anti-codon, and T loops). Further hydrogen bonds mediate the characteristic L-shaped molecular structure. tRNAs have two regions of fundamental functional importance: the anti-codon, which is responsible for specific mRNA codon recognition, and the 3' end, to which the tRNAs corresponding amino acid is attached (by aminoacyl-tRNA synthetases). tRNAs cope with the degeneracy of the genetic code in two manners: having more than one tRNA (with a specific anti-codon) for a particular amino acid; and 'wobble' base-pairing, i.e. permitting non-standard base-pairing at the 3rd anti-codon position.
Source: Rfam by way of RNAcentral
GCUCGUCUAGCUCAGUUGGUAGAGUGCAAGGCUUUUAACCUUGAGGUUGUGGGUUCGAGCCCCAUGGUGGGUG